Molecule: ribosomal RNA, 266 nt
Rfam family: Bacterial small subunit ribosomal RNA
CCCUAAAACCGCUCCCAGUUCGGAUUGCAGGCUGCAACUCGCCUGCAUGAAGGCGGAAUCGCUAGUAAUCGCCUAUCAGCAUGGGGCGGUGAAUACGUUCCCGGGCCUUGUACACACCGCCCGUCACGCCAUGGAAGCCGGGGGCACCUGAAGUCGCUCGCCCAACCCCUUAUGGGGAGGGAGGCGCCUAGGGUGAACCCGGUGACUGGGGCGAAGUCGUAACAAGGUAGCCGUACGGGAACGUGCGGCUGGAUCACCUCAUUUAA